GACGAACGCUGGCGGCGUGCUUAACGCAUGCAAGUCGAACGGUGAAGCGCCUUCCUUUUUGGUGGGUGUGGAUGAGUGGCGAACGGGUGAGUAACACGUGAGUAACCUGCCCCCUUCUUCUGGAUAACCGCAUGAAAGUGUGGCUAAUACGGGAUAUUCUGGGUCUGUCGCAUGAUGGGUCUGGGAAAGAUAUUGUUUCGGUGGGGGAUGGGCUCGCGGCCUAUCAGCUUGUUGGUGGGGUGAUGGCCUACCAAGGCGGGGACGGGUAGCCGGCCUGAGAGGGUGGACGGUCACACUGGGACUGAGACACGGCCCAGACUCCUACGGGAGGCAGCAGUGGGGAAUAUUGCACAAUGGGCGCAAGCCUGAUGCAGCGACGCCGCGUGAGGGAUGGAGGCCUUCGGGUUGUGAACCUCUUUCGCCAGUGAAGCAGGCCUGCCUCGUUUGUGGGUGGGUUGACGGUAGCUGGAUAAGAAGCGCCGGCUAACUACGUG
Molecule: ribosomal RNA, 494 nt
Filed under: uncultured bacterium
Lineage: Bacteria
Description: partial 16S ribosomal RNA
Rfam family: Bacterial small subunit ribosomal RNA
Source: RNAcentral